GACCCUUCAUCUUAUUUACUCUGUUCACUCGAGCUUAGUCUACUACUCUUCCGUGAGGCGCAACUCGUCGAGGCCUGAACAAUAAUCAUGAUGAUCACCACGACGCUCAGCCCUCUCGUCUCUGGAAUCCAGGACAGCAUCAGGGAUGUUGACCUUAGGAGUUUCACCCCGCCCUUUGACCUCUUGUCCUUGAACUUAAAGACAGUCAGCUGGUUGGCCCUUGCAGCGAUAGCUCUGUUUUACCUGUUCAGUGCCUUCGGUAAAUACCUCGUUCCGGUCGCAAGAAGCUUAGCUGUCAACACUGCCGACGCCUGGGAGAACAACGUCCUCGGGCUGAACGAAAUUGGAAGGAGCAGCCCCUCGCUGCAACCAUACUCCGAAAUCCUGGAUACCCUGGCAAAAGCCGUGAAGAAAUGGGAAGAUCCACAAGUGAGCGAAUCCAGCAACGGAAUUAAUAAAAACCAGUGAAGCUGCAAAUAUAUUGACGUAAUUGUCAGAGUGCCAUGAAGGCCUCGUCCAGUAAGACAAAUUGUCCUUUUUUUGUCGCUAUUUAUUAGUUGUUUUUCCUUUUUUGUUGUGUUAAGUCCUACCAUACGCUCAAUAAAUAUUGUUAUUUUGGUGUACGUUA
Molecule: long non-coding RNA, 628 nt
Organism: Macrobrachium nipponense
Lineage: Eukaryota; Metazoa; Arthropoda; Malacostraca; Decapoda; Palaemonidae
Exons: 3
Source: RefSeq, a predicted model, not a curated record